UUCUUGAUAAAUAAAUAUAUAAGUAAUGAAUAGUAGAUUUGAAAUAAUUAAUUAUAUAGAUUUAAAGAAAUAAUCAUGGAUUACAAAAGCUAUUAAUAGAUAUAGGUUACUAAUAAAAAAUAAUAUUUUUUUUUAAUACCUAAGGUAAACCUUUAUAUAUUAAUAAAUAUACUAAGUGAACUGAAACAUCUAAGUAACUUAAGGAAAAUAAAUCAACAGAGAUAUCAUGAGUAUUGGUGAGAGAAAAUGAUUUAGUCAUAAUAAGUAUUAUGUAAUAUUAUAAUAUGUAAGAAUAUAGGACAAACUAGUUCUAAGACUAAAUACUAUUAAUAAGCAAAAUAAGUACUGUAAAGGAAAGUAAUGAAAUGGUUAUUUUAUAAGUAAUCAUAGAUACAAUAUAAUAUGUAUUAAUGAUGUACCUUUUGUAUAAUGGGUCAGCAAGUAAUUAAUAUUAGCAAAAUAUAAUAUAUUAUAAAUAAUUUGAUAUAGUUAAUAUUAAUUGACCCGAAAGCAAAUGAUCUUACUAUGGUUAGACGGAUACGGUCGAACAGGUUGAUGUUGCAAAAUCAUCUGAUAAACUGUGGUAAGUGGUGAAAGACAAAUCUGAUUUGCAGAUAGCUGGUUUUCUACGAAAUAUAUGUAAGUAUAGCCUCUAUAAUAACUAAUAAUUAUUUAAUUAAUUAAAUAAUGAAUGGUAUAGCAAUUAAUAUCUUUUGGGGAACUAUCGAAGUUUUAUCAAAAAUAUUUAAUCUCAAAAUAUUUUUAUUAGUUUAUUAUAGAGAGUCAGAUUAUGUGCGAUAAGGUAAAUAAUCUAAAGGGAAACAGCCCAGAUUAAGAUAUAAGGUUCCUAAUUGUAUGAUAAGUGAAAAUAAUAUUAUAAUAUUGUAAUACUAUCAGUUAAUGGGUUUGACAAUAACCACAUAUUUAAUGAACAUGUAACAAUGCACUGAUUUAUUAAUAAUUAUUUAACAAUAUUAAAUAAUAAAAUAUAUAUAUAUAUAUUUUAUAUAAUAGAUAAUAUACGGAUCUUAUUAUUAAUAAUCAUACAACCGAAUAUCUAAAUAUUAUUAUUAAUUAUAAUAAUAAUAAUAAUAAUAUGGUAGUAGAACAUUUAAUGAAAAAAUAUACUAGUUAUUAAUUAGUAUAUAUAUAUAUUAUAUUAUAAUAUAAUAAAUUAUAGUAAUUAAAUAGAGAAUGCUGACAUGAGUAACGAUAAAAAAGUAAAAACUUUUUCACCUAAAGCAUAAGGUUUUACUAUAAAAGUACGGCCCUUAAGUAAAUUAAGAAUAAAAAUAUAAUUUAUGAUAGGAUAAUUCUAAACUAAAUAAUAUAUUAUAUUAAUAUAUAUAUAUAUAUAUAUAUAUGUAUAUAAACUUAAUAUAAUCAGGAAAUAUAUUUAGUUAUGUACCGUAAUGUAGACCGACUCAGGUAUGCUAGUAGAGAAUAUGAAGGUGUAUUAGAUAAUUAAAGGGAAGGAACUCGGCAAAAAUAGCUCUAACGUUAGUCAAUAAAGAGUAAUAAGAACAAGGUUGUACAACUGUUUACUAAAAACACCGCACUUUGCGAAAACGAUAAGUUAAUGUAUAAGGUGUGAACUCUGCUCCAUGCUUAAUAUAUAAAUAAUAUUAUUAUUAUGAUAAUAUUAUUAAAUUUAAGUAAAUAGCAGCCUUAUUAUGAGGGUUCUAAGGUAGCGAAAUUCAUUGUCCAAUAAAUAUGGUCCUGCAUGAAUGACGUAAUGAUACAACAACUGUCUCCCCUUUAAGCUAAGUGAAAUUAAAUGGGUAGUGAAGAUUCUAUCCACCUAUAGUGUGACGGAAAGACCCUAUGCAGCUUUACUGUAAUUAGAUAGAUCGAAUAAUUGUUUAUUUAAUUCAGUAUAUUAAGUAAUUUAUUAUAAUAAAAAUGAGAUACUUAUUUAAAUAAUAUAAUUAUUCUAAUCUUAUUAUUUAUAUUAAUUGAUACUAUUUAUUCUUAAUAUAAUUAUUUAUUAUUGUAUUAUUAAUACAAUAAUAAUUAAAGUAAAUAAGAGACAAUCUCUAAUUGGUAGUUUUGAUGGGGCGUCAUUUUCAGCAAAUUUAUCUGAAUAAGUCCAUUUACAUUUUAUAUUAUUAUUAAUAUAUUUUAAUAAUAUAAAUUAUUUAUAUUAAUUGUCAAUAAUAAUAUAUUAUUAUUUAAUAAUAUAUUUUUAUAAUAGAUAAAAUAAUGUACAGUAAAAUUGUCUGGAAAACAAUAAUAAUAAUAAUUAUUAUUUUAAUUAUUAUAGAAUAAUCUAUUAAUUUAAUAUAAUGGUUUAACUGUGCGAUAAUUGUUAUACAAACAAGUAAAACAAGUACGUAAGUAUGGCAUAAUGAACAAAUAACACUGAUUGUAAUGGUUAUUGAUAACGAAUAAAAGUUACGCUAGGGAUAACAGGGUAAUAUAGCGAAAGAGUAGAUAUUGUAAGCUAUGUUUGCCACCUCGAUGUCGACUCUACCUAUCCUCUUGGUUGUAACUGCUAAGAAGGGUUUGACUGUUCGUCAAUUAAAAGGUAACGUGAGUUGGGUUAAAUACGAUGUAAAUCAGUAUGGUUCCUAUCUACUAUAGGUAAUAUUAUCAACUUAAGUCUUGUUCUUAGUACGCAAGGAUCAGAAUGAACUAAUCUAUGGUGCAUCUAUUGAUUAUAUUUAUUUAUUUAAUAAAUCGAUAUUAGUUUAUAUUAUAUAAUAUAAUCAUAGUAGAUAAGCUAAAUUAGUAAAUAAUAAGUAUUGAAAGCAUAUAAAAUACAAAGUAGUCUUAAGAUGAGAUAAUUAUCUGAUAAUUAUAUACUAUAAUUUAUAAAUAGCUUAUAAUAUAAGUUUAUAGGUUCUAUAUAUAUAUAUUAUUAUAUAGUAGAAUACUAAUUUAUCAGUU
RNAcentral lists this ribosomal RNA (2889 nucleotides) under Zygosaccharomyces mellis. RNAcentral's name for it is "LSU rRNA". It matches the Rfam family "Bacterial large subunit ribosomal RNA". The record is from RNAcentral. Lineage: Eukaryota; Fungi; Ascomycota; Saccharomycetes; Saccharomycetales; Saccharomycetaceae.